This 436-nucleotide ribosomal RNA is filed under the name Nacerdes atriceps. RNAcentral's name for it is "partial 16S ribosomal RNA". The stretch from base 315 to 436 matches the Rfam family "Bacterial large subunit ribosomal RNA", at positions 2473 to 2595 of the family's 2925-position model. Lineage: Eukaryota; Metazoa; Arthropoda; Insecta; Coleoptera; Oedemeridae. The record is from RNAcentral.
CUGUGCAAAGGUAGCAUAAUCAUUAGUUUUUUAAUUGAAAGCUGGUAUGAAUGGUUUAAUAAGAAAAAUUCUGUCUCAAUUUUAAUUUUUGAAUUUUAUUUUUAAGUUAAAAAGCUUAAAUUUAUUAAAAAGACGAGAAGACCCUAUAGAGUUUAAUAAGAAUAAUUUAAUUUUUAUUAAGAUUUAAAUUUGAAAUUAUUUUAAAUUAUUUUGUUGGGGUGAUAUAAAAAUUUAACAAACUUUUUAUUUAUUAAAUCAUGAAUUUAUGUGUAAUUGAUCCUAAUUUUUGGAUUGCAAGAAAAAAUUACCUUAGGGAUAACAGCGUAAUUUUUUUUGAGAGUUCUUAUCGAAAAGAAAGUUUGCGACCUCGAUGUUGGAUUAAAAUAAAGUUUUGGCGUAGAAGUUAAAAAUUUAGGUCUGUUCGACCUUUAAAUUU